AGAUCACUCAUCGCACGUUGGAUGAUUUGUCACAUCAGCAGCUGAUGUGACAAAUCCUUUGUCACAUCUGUAAAGAUAAGCUACACUCAAUUAAUAGGCUUGCUACAACUGCCAUUCUCUUGAGGCAGUGCAGUAAAAAAAAAAGCAAUUAACCAACUGCAAACAAAAUCAGCUAUGGGGAAUUCCUAUGCCAGAACAGUUUACAACAUGUAGAAGAGCUGUAAACGUGUCCAACCCAACACGCUGCUACAGAUACUUUACAUUAAAAAUAAUAGAAAAGCUUUUUAGUGAAAUAUCUUUCACAUUUUUACCUCCUCUAUGACUGCUGCUCUAUGUCCAAACACAAGGAAGCUGAACAUGUCUCACCAGAGUGAGUCAGCCAAACAUUAGCAGCUCCCCACCUCAGCUGACCCGACAUCUAAUCCCAUAACAAGCUGCCACAAGGCUCUUGACCAAAUGGGCCAAAUGUCCUAUCAAGUCAAAUCUAAGAGUAAAACUUGUGUCUUUUGGCUCAGCGGUGGAUGUUCCCCUGCUGCUUAUCACUCAUAAGGUAUGGUCUGAAGUUUGGUUAUAUGUCACUUCAUUUGAAGAAUGUUGGACGAAAGCAGGUUUUUCAGCAGCACAACAAGGACUAGUGGUGGAUAUCUCAGUGACCAAAUGAUACACUCCAUAAUGCUCUUCUGUUGGAUUAGAUAAUUGUUGCAUGUUGUGGCAAUAAUGGCGCUGUGUUAUCCAUUUGUAAAAUAAAGAUCAGGUUGGAGGAAUAUUACAGCAGAGUGGUAACAAAAGCUCAUUUCGGAGGAUAGUUGAAGGACCCGUGUGAUAAACUUUGUUGAGUGAAGGAUUAGUCCUCUAUUGUCUUUGGAUUUAAGAGGUUUAGUAUUUGCUCUUGGCCAAGGUGCUUGAGAUUACCUUGCUGACCUAAAGUGAAGCACUCUAACAGAAGCUCUGUAGACACAGGAUCCAUCAAAGGCAAGUGGGUCCUCACAUUCUGUAAUAACUGAUAAUGCAUCUCCGGUAGCUUCAUUCA
Molecule: long non-coding RNA, 1030 nt
Organism: Etheostoma cragini (Arkansas darter)
Lineage: Eukaryota; Metazoa; Chordata; Actinopteri; Perciformes; Percidae
Exons: 3
Source: RefSeq, a predicted model, not a curated record